Molecule: ribosomal RNA, 250 nt
Filed under: uncultured bacterium
Lineage: Bacteria
Description: partial 16S ribosomal RNA
Rfam family: Bacterial small subunit ribosomal RNA
Source: RNAcentral
UACGUAGGUGGCAAGCGUUGUCCGGAAUUACUGGGCGUAAAGGGCGUGUAGGCGGCCUUUUAAGUCAGACGUGAAAUCCCUGGGCUUAACCCAGGACCUGCGUUUGAAACUGGAAGGCUUGAGGACCGGAGAGGGUAGUGGAAUUCCCAGUGUAGCGGUGAAAUGCGUAGAUAUUGGGAGGAACACCAGUGGCGAAGGCGACUGCCUGGACGGCACCUGACGCUGAGGCGCGAAAGCCAGGGGAGCAAAC